RNAcentral lists this ribosomal RNA (533 nucleotides) under uncultured bacterium. RNAcentral describes it as "bacterial SSU rRNA". It matches the Rfam family "Bacterial small subunit ribosomal RNA", at positions 366 to 917 of the family's 1533-position model. The record is from RNAcentral.
UUGGAUGGGGGAACCCUGACGCAGCAACGCCGCGUGGAGGAUGAAAUCCCUUGGGAUGUAAACUCCUUUCGAUAGGGAAGAUUAUGACGGUACCUAUAGAAGAAGCCCCGGCUAACUUCGUGCCAGCAGCCGCGGUAAUACGAGGGGGGCAAGCGUUGUUCGGAAUUAUUGGGCGUAAAGGGUGCGUAGGCGGUUUGGCAAGUCUUAUGUGAAAUCUAUGGGCUCAACUCAUAGUCUGCAUGAGAAACUGCCGGGCUUGAGUAUGGGAGAGGUGAGUGGAAUUUCCGGUGUAGCGGUGAAAUGCGUAGAUAUCGGAAGGAACACCUGUGGCGAAAGCGGCUCACUGGACCAUAACUGACGCUGAUGCACGAAAGCUAGGGGAGCAAACAGGAUUAGAUACCCUGGUAGUCCUAGCCCUAAACGAUGAUUGCUUGAUGUGGCAGGUACCCAAUCCUGCCGUGUCGAAGCUAACGCGAUAAGCAAUCCGCCUGGGGAGUACGGUCGCAAGGCUGAAACUCAAAAAAAUUGACGGA